GUCGAACGAGAAAGUGGAGCAAUCCAUGAGUAAAGUGGCGCGCGGGUGAGUAACACGUGACUAACCUACCCUUGAGUGGGGAAUAACCUAGGGAAACCUGGGCUAAUACCGCAUAACACCUACGGGUCAAAGGAGCAAUUCGCUUAAGGAGGGGGUCGCGGCAGAUUAGCUAGUUGGCGGGGUAAUGGCCCACCAAGGCAGUGAUCUGUAUCCGGCCUGAGAGGGCGCACGGACACACUGGAACUGAAACACGGUCCAGACUCCUACGGGAGGCAGCAGUGGGGAAUUUUGCGCAAUGGGGGAAACCCUGACGCAGCAACGCCGCGUGGAGGAUGAAGUCCCUUGGGACGUAAACUCCUUUCGACCGGGAAGAUUAUGACGGUACCGGAAGAAGAAGCCCCGGCUAACUUCGUGCCAGCAGCCGCGGUAAUACGAGGGGGGCAAGCGUUGUUCGGAAUUAUUGGGCGUAAAGGGUGCGUAGGCGGUUCGGUAAGUCUCGUGUGAAAUCUUCGGGCUCAACUCGAAGUCUGCACGAGAAACUGCCGGGCUUGAGUGUGGGAGAGGUGAGUGGAAUUUCCGGUGUAGCGGUGAAAUGCGUAGAUAUCGGAAGGAACACCUGUGGCGAAAGCGGCUCACUGGACCACAACUGACGCUGAGGCACGAAAGCUAGGGGAGCA
RNAcentral lists this ribosomal RNA (677 nucleotides) under uncultured Acidobacteriota bacterium. RNAcentral's name for it is "bacterial SSU rRNA". It matches the Rfam family "Bacterial small subunit ribosomal RNA", at positions 61 to 770 of the family's 1533-position model. Lineage: Bacteria; Pseudomonadati; Acidobacteriota. The record is from RNAcentral.